UUUUUACAAAUAAUUAACAGUAUAAAGGUAAGAGCAUAUAUCACAGAGGUACACUGACAUAAAUGAUAUCACAAAAUAGCGCUAACAAGCAGUCAAAAAAAGAGCAAAUGUUUCAUUCAUUUCACCUGUGCAAAGAACUAUGCAGAUACCACUUAAAAUGUUACCAGAAAGUAUCUCACAGACUCAUUCAUAUUUUGUGGCAGUCUUGAUACUUUAGUACUUUGGAGUGUCUUUGUAGUGUUUCAACCUUUAUCAUCACAGUUAAUAAUGACAACAAUAAAGCCGCCCUAAACUUUGGUAGAUCUGACCACUGGACAAUUAUGCCUGCACUGAGAAAUUCUCGGGGGCAUACUGGUUUUUGCUGUGUUUGCUAUGUCUCUUACAUGUGGCUGCCAAGGAUGGAGUCAGAGAAAUGGGGAAGGUGGAUGAGCUUCCUUGCAACAUCCACCAAUGUUAGACUGGCCUUCAGAUGUAGCCAACAUAAGGUUCAAUAGCUUUUAGACUGCUAAUAUUAAAACUAAAAUAAGUUUGGUCUAUGGAUAAUCAAAAGUGGCUUUGCAUUAUUUCCUAUGUGGAGCUGCUGUACUGAGCAUUCUUCAGCUACAGUGUAGGUUAUGGGCCAACUGACUUUAAAGUAGGAAUGAAGAGCCUUGAAAUACACAACCAUAUAUACUUCCUCUUAAAAGACCAUACAGCAAUUUAUACUUCAAGACUGAGCUGACUGAUCCUCAAAAGAAAAGAAUAAAGCUGUGACAUUUCUCAAAGUGCAUAUACUUUACAUUUUCCAGUAAUUUGAAGGCAGAUCUUUGAGAAGUACAGUGAGAGAUAAAGGAUAAACUAGAUAAAGCACAAAAAUAAAAACAAAUAAUAAAGCAAAGGCCUGAUCCUACUCCUUCUAUGGCAAACUCCCAUUGAAUUCAGCAGGACUGGAGCCACUAAUAAAUAGUAUGUCAUAAAUAUUAUAUAUACGUCAAUAUAUUUUAUGUAUACUCAUUAGAUCAAAAAUAUACAUUCAGUUUAUAUGAAAUAUAUGUAAGAAGAUGCUUAAACUAUAGGAGCACAGGACUAGGAGGAACAUAGGACCCUUAUUUACAUUCUCCACAAAAAGUCCAUAUGUUCCUAAUCUACCUGGAGACCUAAUAAAAAAAUAAGGGUUUCAUUUUGCUAGGUGUUAUGCUAACAUAGAUUUAAAAAAUUAUUCCUGUGUUGUAAAGCUUACAGUAUAGGUAAAGCAGAAGGGAGACUGUAUAAAAUAAUGGCGGUUUUUAUAAUUGAACAUCAACAUUUCAAAAAUCUUGCUUCAUUCUACCGUAUCAUGGCAUCUGAUGCACUAACCAGUAGCAACUGGGAAUAAUUCACACGUUGUAACAAUUCUGUACAUUCCAAUCCUACACUGCAUUGACAGCUAUAUUAUAGCUCUUAACAGGACAAACAAUAUUUAUGUUGCAUCUUUAUCAUAGCUAUUAACAAGAAAAACAUAAUAUUAACAAUGUAAGUUAUUUCUAAAUACCCACUCAAUGCAAACUUCCUCUUCAACUGCAUUGGCCCUUUUGUAUUUCUAACAUUAUUACAGUUACCUUAAUAUUCCACAUGUCCUGCUGGAGAUACUUCCUUCUGACAAAGAGGUACUUCUGUCCUACUUGACAGGUUGAAUGUUAAGACCCCAGAAGUCUUUAGUGUGUGUGUAGAAUUAACUGGUUUGAAGUGGACUUAGCAGAAAAUAAUUCUGCUAGCUUACUUUUCACUCCAAUAAGCUUCACUCAGGAGUGCAUCUCCAUUCAGAAAAAUUCUAGAGUAUAUUUUUAAUCUUAAGCAUAAGUUUUAAGAAAGGUCCUAAAUAUGAUAUUCUUAUAAAACAUUAUUAAAGGCAUUCCUGAAUUGGGAUCUUAAUGUUUCCACUUAUAGAUAGUGAAAGAAUGGCCAGACUAAUGUUGACAGAAAAACUGCUGUAUAAAUAGCCAUGCUGCUCUCCUCACAUUGUUUUUUGUGUUUCCUGAAAGAGCACAUCUGCAGACAGGUCUCUUAAUGGACUGUUCAGACAAUUUCCAACCUGACCUUUUGUUUGCAAUCAUCAUUUUUAAAAACAUCACAGCUGUAUAAUACCAAACUAAAAUAAAAACAGUGUGUGCUUAGGCUAGCAACAAAUGUUACCACCACAUUUGAAAUAUCAAAAGCUGUACUUUGUACUAUUUUAUGACCCUAAGAAAAAGGGGUACAUUGAUAUUCAUAAUGAAUGUGCACAUUACAGACGUUCCUUCAAAACACAUAAAAAAUACAAUCUGAACUAGGUGAACUGGAUACGAAACAUAUUCAGCUUUGAUAGUUUUUUUCAUGUCCCUGCUCAUAUAGCAUUUUUUCCAAAUAGGAACACCAGAACAGACUGCCAAUCCUUUGGACUGGGAAAUAGUGUUUACAGUAACCUGGAUCACUAUCAUCACUGAAGCACUCUGUAUUUUUAGUAACUCAUUAUAUGAUAGUGAUAUAAAAAGCAAAAUUAGAACAAACACUGGCUAGUUAGCUUCUAUGGCCC
Long non-coding RNA from Gavialis gangeticus (Gharial), 2530 nucleotides. RefSeq lists it as uncharacterized. The transcript has 2 exons. Lineage: Eukaryota; Metazoa; Chordata; Crocodylia; Gavialidae. The record is from RefSeq and is a predicted model, not a curated record.